AUGCUGGGCUCGAUCGUUUGUUAUGGGCACUCAGAGGCUGCAAAAGGCGCACGUGCGCGAGAUAAGAACACGUGUCUGUUCACGCAGCGGCGGCAGUUACUUGUACGUACCUGGAUGGGCAGCGCGUCCAUGUCGGCCCGGAGCGCGACGACGGGCGGCCGGCCGGUGCCGAUGGUGGCGACGACGCCGGUGCGCGCCAGCGGGUACCGGAAGCCGACGCCCAUGCCGUCCAGCUCCUCGCGGACCAGCCGGCUCGUCUCCACCUCCUCGUACGCCAGCUCGGGCCGCUCGUGGAUCCGGCGCCGCACCCGCCGCAGCCACGCCGCCAUCUCCGGCCGCCCCGCCAGCCCCGCGAUCUCCUCCUUCCACCCGGACGCACCGCGCUCGCGCGACGACCCGCCGACGACGGCGGAGAUGGCGACGUCGACGUUGUCGCAGAUGGGGCCGCCCCGCCCGCUGGCGUUGGCGCCCUUGCCCAGCCUCGCCACGGCGCCGAGGACCACGUCGUCCUCCAGGAACGCCGCCGGCGACGAGGGGCCAGCCGACGCCACCACGAGCGGCGCCGCCAGCAGCACCAGCAAGAGAAGCACGGAGGUCGGACGCCCGCCCUCCAUCAACGGCGAUGGCGCUGCGCUGCACUGCUGCCGCUGGCUGAGCUCUGCGCGUGUCCGGGCACGAACAGGGUCGGAUGGCUAUACCACAACGAGGACACAACUAUGCAUGAUGGGCAGCGAGCGCACACUGGAGCGGGGGGGAGGGUUAAAUUAG
This 768-nucleotide ribosomal RNA is filed under the name Triticum aestivum (bread wheat). Its description in RNAcentral is "partial small subunit ribosomal RNA". The record is from RNAcentral. Lineage: Eukaryota; Viridiplantae; Streptophyta; Magnoliopsida; Poales; Poaceae.